GUUUUAAUAGUUUAAUAAAAACAUUGGUCUUGUAAGCCUAAAAUAAAGUAAGUCUUUUUAAAACAU
This 66-nucleotide transfer RNA is filed under the name Belzebub intermedius. RNAcentral's name for it is "tRNA-Thr". It matches the Rfam family "tRNA". From Rfam's summary of the family: Transfer RNA (tRNA) molecules are approximately 80 nucleotides in length. Their secondary structure includes four short double-helical elements and three loops (D, anti-codon, and T loops). Lineage: Eukaryota; Metazoa; Arthropoda; Malacostraca; Decapoda; Luciferidae. The record is from RNAcentral.